CGUCAAGUAGCUCAGUUGUCUAGAUAGAGCAGUCGCUUGGCAAGCGAAAGACCCUGGUUCUAUUCCCGGUCUAGCGA
Molecule: transfer RNA, 77 nt
Filed under: Harpegnathos saltator (Jerdon's jumping ant)
Lineage: Eukaryota; Metazoa; Arthropoda; Insecta; Hymenoptera; Formicidae
Rfam family: tRNA
About the family: Transfer RNA (tRNA) molecules are approximately 80 nucleotides in length. Their secondary structure includes four short double-helical elements and three loops (D, anti-codon, and T loops).
Source: Rfam by way of RNAcentral